ACCAAUAUGAAGUGAUGCCUUUCCUCUCCCUCCACCAAUAUGUAUCUCCAUUGCAUACCCUCUCUCUCCUCCAAUAUGAACUUCUCUCCACUAUGGGCUUCUCUCACUCUCUCUCUAGUAUGGGCGACAGUACCAAAUGCUCACUACAGAGCAUAGCGCAGUUCUCUCUCUCCACACCUAUAUGGACUCAUUGCUCUCUCUCUCUCUCUCUUACAUGCUUUUCUGUCAUCUUCUUCACUAAAAUGGACAGGCGUAAGCAUGACAGAGCAACACACCAAACGCCGAUGACACAUUAUGGCUCCAUGCAAGUCAAGUUGAAUCUGAUCACAGAGAAACAGUGAUGCACUUUUUCCCAACAACUCUCACAUAUUUUGCCAUUUGGCAACUUAAGAAUGACUAUGUUAGAUAGAGAGAGAGAGAGAGAUUUUGGUGAGGUUGGUAUAGAG
This 446-nucleotide long non-coding RNA is filed under the name Amborella trichopoda. RNAcentral describes it as "long non-coding RNA (ATRI_LNC001469)". Lineage: Eukaryota; Viridiplantae; Streptophyta; Magnoliopsida; Amborellales; Amborellaceae. The record is from RNAcentral.